RNAcentral lists this ribosomal RNA (442 nucleotides) under uncultured bacterium. RNAcentral describes it as "partial 16S ribosomal RNA". It matches the Rfam family "Bacterial small subunit ribosomal RNA", at positions 338 to 795 of the family's 1533-position model. The record is from RNAcentral.
CCUACGGGGUGCAACAGUGGGGAAUAUUGGGCAAUGGGCGCAAGCCUGACCCAGCAACGCCGCGUGAAGGAAGAAGGCUUUCGGGUUGUAAACUUCUUUUGACAGGGAAGAGUAGAAGACGGUACCUGUCGAAUAAGCCAUGGCUAACUACGUGCCAGCAGCCGCGGUAAUACGUAGGUGGCAAGCGUUGUCCGGAUUUACUGGGUGUAAAGGGCGUGUAGCCGGGUUGACAAGUCAGAUGUGAAAUCCUGCGGCUUAACCGCAGAACUGCAUUUGAAACUGUUGAUCUUGAGUACUGGAGAUGCAGACGGAAUUCCUAGUGUAGCGGUGAAAUGCGUAGAUAUUAGGAGGAACACCAGUGGCGAAGGCAGUCUGCUGGACAGCAACUGACGGUGAGGCGCGAAAGCGUGGGGAGCAAACAGGAUUAGAUACCCUUGUAGUC